This is a long non-coding RNA of Pungitius pungitius (ninespine stickleback), 4232 nucleotides long. RefSeq lists it as uncharacterized. The transcript has 3 exons. Lineage: Eukaryota; Metazoa; Chordata; Actinopteri; Perciformes; Gasterosteidae. The record is from RefSeq and is a predicted model, not a curated record.
UGCGCGGACGCCGGUCAGCCGAUCCCUCGGUGGCUCUCCGGGGGUUGGGCGUGCCGUCGAUGAGGCCCGUGGCGGAUUGCGGGGCAGUGGAUUACUCUUCGGGCCCGUCAACGUACCAAUUGCAUCUGAAAAGGAGCUCGCAAACUGGAGGUGGUGGCCCACCUUUUACAGGCUUAACUGGCUGAGCACUCCUAAUAAAGCCGGGCCGUAUGAAUGUGUGUUUGACGCAGGCCCGGGUCAUUGUCUCAGGUAGCUGCCCCGGUACUUUAGAAACUCACAUUGUUUUCCCCUCCUGAGCCGUUUAGGCAGAUCAAAGCUCCGACAAAGCCCGGGGAAGCCCCAGGCAUUCGGAAACACAGGAGUUACCCCCCCCCCCCCCUCAGGAUUCCCACACAAAAAGACAAAUAGAGUAGCCCCAGAGGGUGGCCCCCGGUGGGACGUCUCCAUUCAGAGCCAGCCUGUUGUGGAGGCUCCAAUUGUUUUUUCCCUCAUUUCACAAUAUAUUGUUUUUUAAAUUGAAUGUUUUGUAACAUGAAAUCUCAAGCUUAGAACAAAAUAAUAACUUGACAUGUUUUUUUAGGUGUAGGAUUAACAUGUAUUCGCUCUUAUUUUCUUGUUUUUAUCAGUUGACAUGAAACACAAAAUAUCUAAUAAAUGUAUAGCAUCUCUUUUAUUUGUAAAAGUUUGAUUAGAGAACCGUUUAUUUCUCUGAGUCAAAGCGUAAACAUGGCUUGUUCCGUAGGUUUGUUUGAGCGCAGAAGCUGGUGAAUGAUUAGCAGAAAUAAUGUCCCUGUCACCCUUAAUCACAUUAAAACGUGGUUAAUAUUUAAUUUUUCCUACUUGAUAUGCAAAAAUUUCCACUUGAUUUGCAGCAGAGGCCAUUGGAAUUCCAUUAUAAAAAGAAUAAAAAUUUCAGGCAUCAUUUGUUCAGAGAGGGAUAUCAAGACCAGAAAGUGCUGAAUCUUUCUAUUAACCGAGCGGUGAGAGAUGGCACUCGGUGCUGGGACAUAAUAGGAGAGUGACAAGAGACACACACGCACACACACACACACACACACACACACACACAACAACCUUCCACACUGGAUUUGUUGUGUGGCCUAAACCCCCUUUAAAUGAUUUACAUUUACAAAUAUUGUUUAACAUAUAAGAUGUAUUUGUAAUGUUAACUUAUGUAUCUAAUCUUAUUCUCAAUUGCCUCUUAAAGGAUUUCAAUUUAAAGCCAAAAAGAAAUAUAACCUUUAAAAAGUCCAUUUUUUUAGGGCGGAGAUGCUGAUACAUUGAGCAGACUGUACCGUCGUUGAUGUCUAGAAACAUUAUUCUUGUCAACAUUUGGGUUUUCCCUGGAAAACACAUUUACAUGGAAACCUGUAAUGAUUUCGAAUUGUAUGAAUGACAAGAUAAAAAAAAAAGAUGCAGCAUGUUUUACAUAAACAUUUCUCCAAUUUAAACAUCCUCAUGGAAUUUCAACCAAAUAAUUGGAAAGGACAUAAAUACAAAUUGCAAAGUGGCGCGGGGCAGACAGCGGCAGGAGUUGACGGAGUCGCUUUCGGGCGCCGUGUUGACGGAACAUCAGAGCUCUUAAUUGACAGUGCUUUGUUUCUGGAGUUGAGAGAAGGGGGAGUUUCCGUGUCCCCGCGGCAAGGUGUUUGUCUGGUCCCGUGUCACUCAGUGCAAGGACCCAGAGACCCCCGCGCUCAUUUGCGGCUCACGUUCCCCCGUCUCGGGCUUCACAUUAUUAAAAUCAUCCCUCAGCCUUCUACCGAGAGCCUCUUUGUUACUUGGCUGGCUUGGCUCGGCUCUGUCAAGUCUUCACCAAUUACAGUCUCAGGUACAAUGGUCUAUUCAAAGGAUCACAGCCCUUGACUGGUGUGGAGAGAGUGAUUUGUGAAUCAUUAUUCAGCCGCCUGUAGAGUACGCAAUACCUGAGGAAUGCAAAUAACGUGCCACCAAAUAGACAGCUGUGCUGCUAAAAGUGACAAACUACAGCUGUUAUUAUCUCAGAUUGGAUUUUUUUUCCCCUCUCGGAGCGCCCGCCAUCUCCUGUUUUUUCGGCUUUUUGGGCUUUGACUAAAUGUGUUUUAUAUUUCUGUCCUUUUCAUUGGUGAGACAUUCUCUAGGGGAGACAUAUCUGAUGGCGUUGGCAGUCAAACAUCAGACAGAAAGGGAAAUAUUAGGUUACGGCGGUAUCUUAGCUGAUGUGCAUCUGAAGAGGCAUUUGGGGGCAAUUUAAAUGUAGCCUGUUGUAUUAUUCUGCCUUGUUGGGGGAAAAUUCCAGUCAAAGCAGAACUGUGCUUUUCCUGUCAUGUUGUGUAUUGAUAAUCAUUAGGUAGAAGCAGUGAUAUGGUUUUGUGGCUGAUAAAGUGGUGACACUGUUAUUGGAAGAGAUGUGGCACCGGGGUGGUUGGGUCCCUCCCGCUCUUUGAUUCUUAUGGGGCUUUUAAACAGGAAACUAGGAUUACAGGUAAUGACAGGGACCCCUCUGAAUCAAUCCGGCCUCGCAGCUCGGUCAGAGCCGCCGUGUGAAAAUGGAUUUGCGUGGUGCUGUUCUCUGAGACCUGCCCAAUCCCAGCCACAGCGCUUGUGUGGGGCUAAUCUCAUAAUUGCCCUAACCCCCUUGUAUUGUUCCGACCGAGAGUUAACAUUAAGCGCGAGGAUAUCUUUGUCCCGCAAUGUCAGGUGUCCCGCUGGACACGAAGACAAAAAAGAGAAUGACAAAGACAUUUAUGAGUAAGGAGAUACUUUGCAGUGAUGUUUUACUCCUUCCUGGCUUUAUGUUGCAUGUUUAGAUGUGGUGAAUGACGUCUAUUUGUUUGUUAAGCUCUGUGUGUCUUAUGAACUCAAACAUGCACAGUUUAAAAUACGUUAGUACAAUUCUGAUACUCUGCUGAUGAAAUGUUUUACAGCUACAGUUUUUUUUCAACAUGUGAUCAUCUUCUAAAAAGCAAUGCACCGCUUAUCUUAUGAUCAGCUUUGUUUCAAAUAUACUGAAUAUCUUCAUACUUUUGAAUGCAAAAUUUGGAAUUGCAAUUUUAAUGUUUGAUAUUGCUUCCGUUACUUUUAAAAUCUUUGUGGAUCCAUUCUCUUCAUAAUGAGAUAAUGUCAAGUCGGAUGUUUGGUCAAAGACUCUUAAGGGAAAAAAAGUCAGCUGAAAAGUCAAAUGUUCAGCUGCCCUCACAGCUAGGCAUGGCAGCAAAUACUUUGAUGGGAAUCACGUCCUCCAAUUGCUUUCUUGGCUGCUGAUUUUUUACCAGGUUGGUAGAAAUCAAGGAGUGGGUGGACAGUCGUGACCCCGGAGCCUUGGUCAUCCCCUUGGGCGGCAGCACGCAGGUCCAACUAUACAGGAGCUCUGCACAGAGCACAAGACACAGAGGUUAAUUAUCAUCCCGUCUCCCCACACUUUAUUAUCAGCUGUGUCCUCCAUGCACUCCUUUAAUUGCAUGUGCUGAUAGAAUAAUAAAUGGCAGAGUAAUUACCAUUAUAAAGCAAAGGAUCCCUCUUCUUACUGAACAACUCCGUCAAAGGGUUUUCCUCUAAAUUAAGUUUUUAACUGUCAUCUGUCAUCUGUAGGUAUAAUUAUAACUUGGGCAUUUUGGGUUUAUUGUUCGCGUGUGAAAACCUCUGUAGAGAGAAAGAUUGUGACAGCAGAUGUUUUUUUUCCCCUCUUGGUGCAGAACGAGGCAUCGUGUUGAAUUCUAAAAAAUGCUAAACGAGUCUCCGAGCUUUCUAAUUAAUCAAAGAAACCAUUGGAGAGUUAAAUGUCUGAUGUAAAACAAAGUGACCCAUCUUGUUCACUUAAUGGCUUCAUAUUGCAAUGAAUGGGGCCUUGCUACGGAAGGGGACUUUGUCUGUGCAUUUGUGGCAAUAAAUAAGACUUACGCAGUUUAGACCCCUCGGUUUGAAUUGGAUUGUCUCUCCAGCAGAGCCCUGAGAAAGAUCAUCAAGCCCUGCUGCAGGAGUACUUCAACGCGGGGCCCGAUGAGGUCCGUGCAUGGGCCAUUCGGAAAGGAACUAAGGCUCCACAGGCCGCAGGGAAGAUCCAGACCUUUGCGGAAGGGCUUCAUUAUGGCGGAAGUAAUGAAAUUCCCGGAUUUUAAAGAGGAAGGCAGUGAGAACGCUGUCGAGGCAGCAAGGGAAAUACACACAACAGGGCAGAAACUGUUGUUGAAGAUGGAGACAUCAUCUUUUUCAAGUUUUGCAACCCAAAUGCACCAAAGAAAAAGUGACGAAAG